AGCGAACAGAUAAGGAGCUUGCUCCUUUGACGUUAGCGGCGGACGGGUGAGUAACACGUGGGUAACCUACCUAUAAGACUGGAAUAACUCCGGGAAACCGGGGCUAAUGCCGGAUAACAUGUUGAACCGCAUGGUUCUACAGUGAAAGGCGGCUUUGCUGUCACUUAUAGAUGGACCCGCGCCGUAUUAGCUAGUUGGUGAGGUAACGGCUCACCAAGGCAACGAUACGUAGCCGACCUGAGAGGGUGAUCGGCCACACUGGAACUGAGACACGGUCCAGACUCCUACGGGAGGCAGCAGUAGGGAAUCUUCCGCAAUGGGCGAAAGCCUGACGGAGCAACGCCGCGUGAGUGAUGAAGGUCUUCGGAUCGUAAAACUCUGUUAUUAGGGAAGAACAAAUGCGUAAGUAACUGUGCGCGUCUUGACGGUACCUAAUCAGAAAGCCACGGCUAACUAC
Molecule: ribosomal RNA, 457 nt
Filed under: uncultured Staphylococcus sp.
Lineage: Bacteria; Bacillati; Bacillota; Bacilli; Caryophanales; Staphylococcaceae
Description: bacterial SSU rRNA
Rfam family: Bacterial small subunit ribosomal RNA
Source: RNAcentral